RNAcentral lists this ribosomal RNA (64 nucleotides) under Paenibacillus sp. F4. Its description in RNAcentral is "partial 23S ribosomal RNA". Lineage: Bacteria; Bacillati; Bacillota; Bacilli; Caryophanales; Paenibacillaceae. The record is from RNAcentral.
GGGUGGAAGUGCAGUAAUGCAUGGAGCUGACCAAUACUAAUCGGUCGAGGGCUUAUCCUAAAAC